RNAcentral lists this unclassified non-coding RNA (161 nucleotides) under uncultured fungus. RNAcentral describes it as "sequence contains ITS1". Lineage: Eukaryota; Fungi. The record is from RNAcentral.
UCGAGUUUAAAACGUCGGAGACUGUGCUGGCCCUCGGGCAUGUGCACGUCCCCUUCAUUUCCACACACCUCGUGCACUCCAAGGUGGCUCUCUCACCGGGAGCCGCCUGCUUUUUACAUGCGCCUUUACGUAUUUUUGGGAAUGUCUUUUCUAAAUAGAAA